RNAcentral lists this long non-coding RNA (1175 nucleotides) under Androctonus crassicauda. The record is from RNAcentral. Lineage: Eukaryota; Metazoa; Arthropoda; Arachnida; Scorpiones; Buthidae.
AGAUAUAUUACAGAUAUAAAUAUCAUUAGUUUCUAAUAUAUGAAACAAUGUAUACAAAGUUUCAUUUAUAAAAUAUAAACAUUGCAAAUAAUCUUUCUUUCUUGACAAUGAAUUGAUUUUUCCAUGUUCCCAACUCAAAUUAUUCUCUGUCAUAGAGCAAAAACAAUCCAGACCAAAAAAAUAAAACUUACUAUAGCCUUUCUAUCACUGACAAGACUGUUCCAAUAAGUGCUCACUUCUUAUUGGUUGAAAACCAAAGGAAAAACUUUGAUUAUACAGACUAUCUUGGUAAUAUAGACAUGGUGUGUGUCAUUUUAGAAAGCCUAGGACCCAAGAAUUUCCAAUGUUUUAUUUUUGAGUGCUCCCUAUUAUUUUAUUCAGCCACUUCAAAAACAACUUUUCUAGUUUCUAUAUGUUCAGUCCUAAAAAUGAAUCCAUUUGAUGCUACUCAGAUACUGUACUUGCUUUGUAAAGAUGCUUGGGAUCAGUUUCCGCGUGUUUCUUUCUAUGGCAUAGUCUUUUUAUUUCUGUAAAAAAUAUAAAUUAUGACAAUAAAUUUUUUACUGAUAUUUAUAAUAGGAAAUAAUAAAUAAAAACAAUAACAAGAUUGAUGAUGAUAAUUGUAUUUUAUUCAAAGGCUUAUCUGUAAUUAAAGUUAAAUAUUAAUUAUAAAAUCAAAAGAUAACUUUAAAAUUAAAUAUGCUAAUUAAUUUUGAGAUUAAAACUUUCCAUAAUAAACUGUAUUCUUAGAGCUAAAGUGAUCCAUAUUGCCUCAAAAUACAUGAAUGUAUAUAAACCACUGAUAAAAACAAACUUUCAGGCUAAAUACAAUCCAACACAAAGAGGAUGUACAUCUUACAAGUUUAAUGGAUAUAAUAUUUUACUUUAUGCCUCUACAAUGUUGAGAAUAUAUUCAACUUAAACUUCUUGAAAUAUUUUAUAAAAUGUAAUAAAACAUUGAAAUUCUCCUCUUGCAUGAAUACUGUUUAAUAAUUAGAAAUGGUUUCCAAUCAAUCAAAUUUAAUUUAAAUUUCGUUAUAUAUGAAAAACACUGCCAUCUAAUAAUUAUUUCUAUAAAAAAUUCAAUCAAUUUGCCUUUCCCCUACCAUAAUAAAUGAAAGUAUUAUCAAGAUGGUAGAUUUUAAGUAAAUUUAAAUUUUAAAAUAAUUUUUUUA